AUACGGAGGGUCCGAGCGUUAUCCGGAAUCAUUGGGUUUAAAGGGUCCGUAGGCGGGAAUCUAAGUCAGUGGUGAAAUCUUGCAGCUCAACUGUAAAAUUGCCAUUGAUACUGGAUUUCUUGAAUUAGUGUGAAGUGGUUAGAAUGUGUAGUGUAGCGGUGAAAUGCAUAGAUAUUACACAGAAUACCAAUUGCGAAGGCAGAUCACUAACACUAUAUUGACGCUGAAGGACGAAAGCGUGGGGAGCGAACAGGAUUAGAAACCCCGGUAGUCC
This 274-nucleotide ribosomal RNA is filed under the name uncultured bacterium. Its description in RNAcentral is "partial 16S ribosomal RNA". It matches the Rfam family "Bacterial small subunit ribosomal RNA", at positions 523 to 796 of the family's 1533-position model. The record is from RNAcentral.